Molecule: long non-coding RNA, 1002 nt
Organism: Oenanthe melanoleuca
Lineage: Eukaryota; Metazoa; Chordata; Aves; Passeriformes; Muscicapidae
Exons: 2
Source: RefSeq, a predicted model, not a curated record
CUGAUUUUAUGGCAAUUUUUGCAUCAAAUCUAUAAAACGGUUUUUAUUUGAAGUUGGCAAAUCCCAGUUACGAUAGUGCUGUUUUUAUUUGUUUAAACAGCAUAUUUAGUUCCUUUAACUCUUUCCCUCUGAUCUUUUCUUUAUCCCUUUUUAUUUCUUUUUGUUUUUUAACUAAUUUUUUUAUUGGGCCCUUUUUCAUUCUCAUCUUUUUCAAAGAAAUGUUUAUAUCUAGGACAAAAUUAAUUCCUGUUAGGAUAAGGAGCUCGCUCCUUAAAUCCUAAAUUCCUCUUUACUCAAUUCACAACACAAAUUCCAAAAAAAACCCCUUUGUGAUCAUAACAAGUAGUACUAACACAUGGAUGUGCCACAAAGACAGAUUCGUUUUUAUCCCUGUCCCACACAGAACGAUUGCAUUUGUCAUAGGGAUCGGGAAUACUUUGUUUCUUUCUUGCUGCCCUUUGUGCUGCUUGUCCUUGUUUUAAUAUACACUUCAGUUAACAGCCCCAGCUGCUCUGCUUUGCAGGCCCUUGAGGAAGGGAUGGGCUUACGGGUGGGAAAGGUGGGGUUUUUCCCACCCCUGGAGAGGCUCGACUGGAGUGGUCAGACCCUCCCCAGGCCCAUGAAACAGUGAUAACCUUUGGCGCUUUUUCUUGUUUCCAAGUCUUGUUUGGAACUGACUUUCAUGCAAUUGUUCUUUGUUUUUUCCAGGAAGAUUGCACCUGGUGCCUGGACUGGGUGGGGAAGCGCCAGCACCGUCCGUGGAUCCCGUCCAGUGCCGGCGCUACCCCGGGGGGCCACGGUGUGUGGGGACAUCCCCUUCAGGAAGGACGAGGGUCUCGUGUGGGAUCAGCUCCUCUCCUGGCAGCAGGUCUCCAGAGGCUACCAGCACCUCAUGCCAUGGAAACGGCACCGCUCGGCUGCCAGUCUGGGAGGGCUGGAGGGCAGCGGGUGUUCACUUGCUGUCAAAAAUAAAUCUUUUUCUUGUCAUCAUCAUCAUCAUCA